AGGAUGAACGCUAGCUACAGGCUUAACACAUGCAAGUCGAGGGGCAGCAUUAGAUUAGCUUGCUAAUUAGAUGGCGACCGGCGCACGGGUGAGUAACGCGUAUCCAACCUUCCCCCUGCUCAGGGAUAGCCCGGUGAAAACCGGAUUAAGACCUGAUAGUUUCACUAGAUGGCAUCUGACGGUGAAUAAAGGUUUCGGCAAGGGAUGGGGAUGCGUCUGAUUAGCUUGUUGGCGGGGUAACGGCCCACCAAGGCGACGAUCAGUAGGGGUUCUGAGAGGAAGGUCCCCCACAUUGGAACUGAGACACGGUCCAAACUCCUACGGGAGGCAGCAGUGAGGAAUAUUGGUCAAUGGGCGGAAGCCUGAACCAGCCAAGUAGCGUGCAGGAAGACGGCCCUAUGGGUUGUAAACUGCUUUUGUGCGGGAAUAAAGUCAGGGACGCGUCCCUGUUUGCAUGUACCGCAAGAAUAAGGACCGGCUAAUUCCGUGCCAGCAGCGGC
RNAcentral lists this ribosomal RNA (500 nucleotides) under uncultured bacterium. Its description in RNAcentral is "bacterial SSU rRNA". It matches the Rfam family "Bacterial small subunit ribosomal RNA", at positions 26 to 518 of the family's 1533-position model. The record is from RNAcentral.